RNAcentral lists this transfer RNA (60 nucleotides) under Cavia porcellus (domestic guinea pig). It matches the Rfam family "tRNA", at positions 6 to 65 of the family's 71-position model. From Rfam's summary of the family: Transfer RNA (tRNA) molecules are approximately 80 nucleotides in length. Their secondary structure includes four short double-helical elements and three loops (D, anti-codon, and T loops). Lineage: Eukaryota; Metazoa; Chordata; Mammalia; Rodentia; Caviidae. The record is from Rfam by way of RNAcentral.
UGUAACUCAGCAGAGAGCGCUUGCCUUGCAAGCAUGAGGCUCUAGGUUCGAAUCCCAGCA